This 484-nucleotide ribosomal RNA is filed under the name uncultured bacterium. RNAcentral describes it as "partial 16S ribosomal RNA". It matches the Rfam family "Bacterial small subunit ribosomal RNA", at positions 30 to 507 of the family's 1533-position model. The record is from RNAcentral.
AUUGAACGCUGGCGGCAGGCCUAACACAUGCAAGUCGAGCGGAAGAAGGGUGCUUGCUCCUGGAUCCAGCGGCGGACGGGUGAGUGAUGCCUAGGAAUCUGCCUGGCUGUGGGGGAUAACGUCCGGAAACGGGCGCUAAUACUGCAUACGUCCUGCGGGAGAAAGUGGGGGAUCUUCGGAACUCACGCUAUCAGAUGAGCGUAGGUCGGAUUAGCUAGUUGGUGGGGUAAAGGCCUACCAAGGCGACCAUCCGUAACUGGUCUGAGAGGAUGAUCAGUCACACUGGAACUGAGACACGGUCCAGACUCCUACGGGAGGCAGCAGUGGGGAAUAUUGGACAAUGGGCGGAAGCCUGAUCCAGCCAUGCCGCGUGUGUGAAGAAGGUCUUCGGAGUGUAAAGCACUUUAAGUUGGGAGGAAGGGCAGUAAGUUAAUACCUUGCUGUUUUGACGGUACCAACAGAAUAAGCACCGGCUAACUUCGUG